GUGCCAGCAGCCGCGGUAAUACGUAGGGUGCGAGCGUUGUCCGGAAUUACUGGGCGUAAAGAGCUCGUAGGCGGUUUGUCGCGUCGUCUGUGAAAUUCUGCAAACUCAAUUGCAGGCGUGCAGGCGAUACGGGCAGACUUGAGUACUACAGGGGAGACUGGAAUUCCUGGUGUAGCGGUGAAAUGCGCAGAUAUCAGGAGGAACACCGGUGGCGAAGGCGGGUCUCUGGGUAGUAACUGACGCUGAGGAGCGAAAGCGUGGGUAGCGAACAGGAUUAGAUACCCUGGUAGUCCACGCCGUAAACGGUGGGUACUAGGUGUGGGUUCCUUUCACGGAUCGUGCCGUAGCUAACGCAUUAAGUACCCGCCUGGGAGUACGGCCGCAAGGCUAAAC
This 393-nucleotide ribosomal RNA is filed under the name uncultured Gordonia sp. Its description in RNAcentral is "bacterial SSU rRNA". It matches the Rfam family "Bacterial small subunit ribosomal RNA", at positions 505 to 899 of the family's 1533-position model. The record is from RNAcentral. Lineage: Bacteria; Bacillati; Actinomycetota; Actinomycetes; Mycobacteriales; Gordoniaceae.